GACGAACGCUGGCGGCGUGCUUAACACAUGCAAGUCGAACGGAAAGGCCCUGCUUUUGUGGGGUGCUCGAGUGGCGAACGGGUGAGUAACACGUGAGUAACCUGCCCUUGACUUUGGGAUAACUUCAGGAAACUGGGGCUAAUACCGGAUAGGAGCUCCUGCUGCAUGGUGGGGGUUGGAAAGUUUCGGCGGUUGGGGAUGGACUCGCGGCUUAUCAGCUUGUUGGUGGGGUAGUGGCUUACCAAGGCUUUGACGGGUAGCCGGCCUGAGAGGGUGACCGGCCACAUUGGGACUGAGAUACGGCCAAGACUCCUACGGGAGGCAGCAGUGGGGAAUAUUGCACAAUGGGCGGAAGCCGGAUGCAGCAACGCCGCGUGCGGGAUGACGGCCUUCGGGUUGUAAACCGCUUUCGCCUGUGACGAAGCGUGAGGGACGGUAAUGGGUAAAGAAGCACCGGCUAACUACGU
This 467-nucleotide ribosomal RNA is filed under the name uncultured bacterium. Its description in RNAcentral is "partial 16S ribosomal RNA". It matches the Rfam family "Bacterial small subunit ribosomal RNA", at positions 28 to 506 of the family's 1533-position model. The record is from RNAcentral.